Molecule: ribosomal RNA, 460 nt
Filed under: uncultured bacterium
Lineage: Bacteria
Description: partial 16S ribosomal RNA
Rfam family: Bacterial small subunit ribosomal RNA
Source: RNAcentral
CCUACGGGAGGCAGCAGUGAGGAAUAUUGGUCAAUGGACGAGAGUCUGAACCAGCCAAGUAGCGUGAAGGAUGACUGCCCUAUGGGUUGUAAACUUCUUUUAUAUGGGAAUAAAACGUUCCACGUGUGGGAUUUUGUAUGUACCAUAUGAAUAAGGAUCGGCUAACUCCGUGCCAGCAGCCGCGGUAAUACGGAGGAUCCGAGCGUUAUCCGGAUUUAUUGGGUUUAAAGGGAGCGUAGGUGGAUUGUCAAGUCAGUUGUGAAAGUUUGCGGCUCAACCGUAAAAUUGCAGUUGAAACUGGCAGUCUUGAGUACAGUAGAGGUGGGCGGAAUUCGUGGUGUAGCGGUGAAAUGCUUAGAUAUCACGAAGAACUCCGAUUGCGAAGGCAGUUCACUGGACUGCAACUGACACUGAGGCUCGAAAGUGUGGGUAUCAAACAGGAUUAGAUACCCUUGUAGUC